GCGGCGAGCGAACAGGGAAAAGCCCAGCACCGAAUCCCGCGGUCGUAACCGGUCGCCGGGACAUGUGGUGUUAGGAAGGAUCCGUUAUCUCGAGAGUUCGCGGCGCGUCCAAGUCCAUCUUGAACGGGGCCACUGCCCAUAGAGGGUGCCAGGCCCGUAGCGACCGCUGCGGCUUUCGAGAGGGUCUCUUCUGAGAGUCGGGUUGCUUGAGAGUGCAGCCCUAAGUGGGUGGUAAACUCCAUCUAAGGCUAAAUAUGACCACGAGACCGAUAGCGAACAAGUACCGUGAGGGAAAGUUGAAAAGAACUUUGAAGAGAGAGUUCAAGAGUACGUGAAACCGUUCAGGGGUAAACCUGAGAAACCCGAAAGGUCGAAUGGGGAGAUUCAUUCGCGACCCGAACCGUCGGCGUAAGUCGUUGGAGUGACGGCGGCGUUCGCGCCGUUCGCGCCCUUCGUCUUACGAGCCGAUUUCGGACGCGUGCACUUCUCCCCUAGUAGGACGUCGCGAUCCGUUGAGUGCCGGUCUACGGUCCGCAGUGUAGCCCGCGAGCGCGGUUCUCCGUCGCUUUCGGACACGCGGUUGCCCGACCGGCUCGCUCGACGGUUCAUAGAUGGCGGGAGGCCGCGACUUUAGUUCGCGUCCGACCCGCGGCAAGCUCGCAAGCUGUGUCGGCGAUCGGACUUAGUGCCGAUUCCGACCGCUGGCGGCUGUUCGCCGCGGUGCUCUCGGACAGACCUCUGUGAAACGCCGAUCGGCGACGCUAUAGCUUUGGGUACUUUCAGGACCCGUCUUGAARCACGGACCAAGGAGUCUAGCGUGUGCGCGAGUCAUUGGGAUAACACUAAACCUAAAGGCGCAAUGAAAGUAAAAGUUCGUCUUGCACGAACAGAGGGAAGACGGUCGGUCUUCGUGACCGACCCGCACUCCCGGGGCGUCUCAUUCUCAUUGCGAGAGGAGGCGCACCAAGAGCGUACACGCUGGGACCCGAAAGAUGGUGAACUAUGCCUGGUCAGGACGAAGUCAGGGGAAACCCUGAUGGAGGUCCGUAGCGAUUCUGACGUGCAAAUCGAUCGUAAGAACUUGGUAUAGGGGCGAAAGACUAAUCGAACUAUCUAGUAGCUGGUUCCCUCCGAAGUUUCCCUCAGGAUAGCUGGCGCUCGUUGCGUACGAGUCUCAUCCGGUAAAGCGAAUGAUUAGAGGCAUUGGGGUCGAAACGACCUCAACCUAUUCUCAAACUUUAAAUGGGUGAGAUCUCCGGCUUGCUCGAACUUGAAGCCGCGAGAAUACGGAUCAGAGUGCCAAGUGGGCCAUUUUUGGUAAGCAGAACUGGCGCUGUGGGAUGAACCAAACGCCGAGUUAAAGCGCCUAAAUCGACGCUUAUGGGAUACCAUGAAAGGCGUUGGUAACUUAAGACAGCAGGACGGUGGCCAUGGAAGUCGGAAUCCGCCAAGGAGUGUGUAACAACUCACCUGCCGAAGUUACUAGCCCUGAAAAUGGAUGGCGCUGAAGCGUCGUGCUUAUACUCGGCCGUCAGCGGCAUGUGCGGUCGCCUUGUGCGGCCAUGAAGCCCUGAUGAGUAGGAGGGUCGCGGAGGUGCGCGCAGAAGGGCUGGCCGUGGGGCCGUCUGGAGCCGCCUUCGGUGCAGAUCUUGGUGGUAGUAGCAAAUACUCCAGCGAGGCCCUGGAGAGCUGAGGUGGAGAAGGGUUUCGUGUGAACAGCCGUUGCACACGAGUCAGUCGAUCCUAAGCCCUAGGCGAAAGCCGAUGUUGAUGUGGCGUUGUUAACCGUGCGACGAGCGCAGAAGAUCGAUAAAAAGAUCUAGAACGCUCUGCGCGUCAAGCACGCCCGUCGGGCGAAAGGGAAUCCGGUUCCUAUUCCGGAACCCGGCAGCGGAACCGUCAUUAAAUCGGGCCCUCGCAAGAGAGUUCGUCGGGGCAACCCAAAAGGACCCGGAGACGCCGUCGAGAGAUCCGGGAAGAGUUUUCUUUUCUGCAUGAGCGUUCGAGUUCCAUGGAAUCCUCUAGCAGGGAGAUAUGGUUUGGAACGCGAAGAGCACCGCAGUUGCGGCGGUGUCCGGAUCAUCUCCUCGGACCUUGAAAAUCCGGGAGAGGGCCACGUGUAGGCGUCGCGCCGGCUCGUACC
This 2143-nucleotide ribosomal RNA is filed under the name Rhyzobius sp. JAG-2009. RNAcentral's name for it is "eukaryotic LSU rRNA". It matches the Rfam family "Eukaryotic large subunit ribosomal RNA", at positions 86 to 1849 of the family's 3401-position model. The record is from RNAcentral. Lineage: Eukaryota; Metazoa; Arthropoda; Insecta; Coleoptera; Coccinellidae.